This 520-nucleotide unclassified non-coding RNA is filed under the name uncultured Glomus. RNAcentral's name for it is "SSU rRNA". It matches the Rfam family "Eukaryotic small subunit ribosomal RNA", at positions 569 to 1094 of the family's 1831-position model. The record is from RNAcentral. Lineage: Eukaryota; Fungi; Glomeromycota; Glomeromycetes; Glomerales; Glomeraceae.
AGCAGCCGCGGUAAUUCCAGCUCCAAUAGCGUAUAUUAAAGUUGUUGCAGUUAAAAGCUCGUAGUUGAAUUUCGGGAUCAAUUAAUUGGUCGUGCCUCUGGUACGCACUGGUUUUAUUGGUUUCUCCCUUCUGACGAACCACGAUGUCAUUAAUUUGGUGUCGUGGAGAAUCAGGACUGUUACUUUGAAAAAAUUAGAGUGUUUAAAGCAGGCUAACGCUUGAAUACAUUAGCAUGGAAUAAUGAAAUAGGACGUUUGAUCCUAUUUUGUUGGUUUCUAGGAUCGACGUAAUGAUUAAUAGGGAUAGUUGGGGGCAUUAGUAUUCAAUUGUCAGAGGUGAAAUUCUUGGAUUUAUUGAAGACUAACUACUGCGAAAGCAUUUGCCAAGGAUGUUUUCAUUAAUCAAGAACGAAAGUUAGGGGAUCGAAGACGAUCAGAUACCGUCGUGGUCUUAACCAUAAACUAUGCCGACUAGGGAUCGGGCGAUGUUAUUUUUUUGACUCGCUCGGCACCUUACGGG